CCCAUUUCUUCAUCUACUUUGAACCCCCACCCCGUUUCUUCAACUACUUCGAACCCCCACCCAUUUCAUUGUGUAUUGGUGUAUUUUUUUUCUUAGCAUUUUUACUUGUGGAAGAUUGGUUUUUAAAUUUGAAUUCAUUGAGGUCUUUAGUGGUGGUGUUUCUUUGAUUGUUUUAUUCUUUGGCAAAGAAGAGAUGGUUUUGGAUAGAUUUGGGAAGGAUUUUUUAAUUGUAGGGGAAGUGAUUUUGGUUGAAUUUGAGUAUUUGGUGGAAGUGGAAUUGAGCUUUUUCAAUUGGAAUUUUAGUGCAAGUUUCUGAUGAGCUUGAUUUUGAUUUUGGUUGAACUAAAAACUGAAUCAGACAAAGAAAGUUUCAUUUUUGCAAGCUUGAUUUGAUUCUGGAUUGUACCAAAAUCAAAAGAAGAAAAAGAAAUCUUGAUUAAUUUGGUUUGAUUCUUGGAAGAGCUAAUGGAUUUGAUGAGCAUCUAUUCCAGGCACAAACAAUAUAUAGUUUUAACCUGUGAAUCAUUGCUUUUAUGCUGACUUAUGAAUUUUCAAAUGUUUAAGAUUCACUUGCUAAAAUCCAGUUCAGAA
This 591-nucleotide long non-coding RNA is filed under the name Capsicum annuum. RNAcentral's name for it is "long non-coding RNA (CANN_LNC018680)". The record is from RNAcentral. Lineage: Eukaryota; Viridiplantae; Streptophyta; Magnoliopsida; Solanales; Solanaceae.